RNAcentral lists this ribosomal RNA (301 nucleotides) under uncultured bacterium. Its description in RNAcentral is "partial 16S ribosomal RNA". It matches the Rfam family "Bacterial small subunit ribosomal RNA", at positions 509 to 809 of the family's 1533-position model. The record is from RNAcentral.
CAGUCGCGCGGUAACACGGAGGGCGCGAGCGUUACCCGGAUUUACUGGGCGUAAAGGGCGUGUAGGCGGCCUGGGGCGUCCCAUGUGAAAGGCCACGGCUCAACCGUGGAGGAGCGUGGGAUACGCUUAGGCUAGAGGGUGGGAGAGGGUGGUGGAAUUCCUGGUGUAGCGGUGAAAUGCGCAGAUAUCAGGAGGAACACCAAUGGCGAAGGCAGCUCGCUGGGACGUGACUGACGCUGAGACGCGAAAGCGUGGGGAGCAAACAGGAUUAGAUACCGAGUAGUCCCUGUCUCUUAUACAC